AACGAACGCUGGCGGCAUGCCUAAUACAUGCAAGUCGAACGAGACCUUCGGGUCUAGUGGCGCACGGGAGCGUAACGCGUGGGAAUCUGCCCUUGGGUUCGGAAUAACAGUUGGAAACGACUGCUAAUACCGGAUGAUGACGUAAGUCCAAAGAUUUAUCGCCCAGGGAUGAGCCCGCGUAGGAUUAGCUAGUUGGUGGGGUAAAGGCCUACCAAGGCGACGAUCCUUAGCUGGUCUGAGAGGAUGAUCAGCCACACUGGGACUGAGACACGGCCCAGACUCCUACGGGAGGCAGCAGUGGGGAAUAUUGGACAAUGGGCGAAAGCCUGAUCCAGCAAUGCCGCGUGAGUGAUGAAGGCCUUAGGGUUGUAAAGCUCUUUUACCCGGGAUGAUAAUGACAGUACCGGGAGAAUAAGCCCCGGCUAACUCCGUG
RNAcentral lists this ribosomal RNA (433 nucleotides) under uncultured bacterium. RNAcentral describes it as "partial 16S ribosomal RNA". It matches the Rfam family "Bacterial small subunit ribosomal RNA", at positions 29 to 507 of the family's 1533-position model. The record is from RNAcentral.